AGCGAAAUUCAAUGCCAAGAUGGU
This 24-nucleotide non-coding RNA is filed under the name Arabidopsis thaliana (thale cress). The record is from RNAcentral. Lineage: Eukaryota; Viridiplantae; Streptophyta; Magnoliopsida; Brassicales; Brassicaceae.